CUGAUGCCUGGAGUAGAUAGAUGGGUGAUCCAAUAUAAACAAAUUGCUGGAUAUGAUAAUCAAAUUGGGUGAAAAAAGAAGAAAGAGAGAGACAUACCUAACACUGUAACCAAUUUGACAGGAAACUUUUUACUAUCUGGUCUGCAAUUAAGACCUUCUGCUCCAUCUGCAAGAUAGCCGUUAGGACAGUGGCAAAAGAACUUCCCUCCUGGAUUAACCUUGCAACUCUCGCUUUUAAGUGGAACCAAUAUAGGAGUGAAGGCAAAGAUCAAGCCGUCCUGUGGCAAUCUGUUGGCUGUAAGUAUACUUUCUACAUCGGCCCCAAAAUCAUUCGCAAUUGAUGUGAUCGAAUCACCCCAUGUCACCAUAUACAUCAACAAGGAGAUCACUCCAUUUUCUGUUUGGUUUUGACUUGGACAAGCACAUCUUAGUGGAACCAUCAGCUCUGUUCCCACCUGAAGAUUUUUGGGGUCAUAGUAGUUUUGACCCAUUAGGGCCUGGCAAGUAGUCAGGCCUUGGUAAGUGUCAUUUGCUAUACUAAAAUAGGUUUCUGUACUUUUAAUGGUGUAAGGUGUAUUAUGCUGGUAAAUGCUACCUGUACAUGAACAAGAAACAGGAACU
This 621-nucleotide unclassified non-coding RNA is filed under the name Hevea brasiliensis (rubber tree). Lineage: Eukaryota; Viridiplantae; Streptophyta; Magnoliopsida; Malpighiales; Euphorbiaceae. The record is from RNAcentral.